AUUGAACGCUGGCGGCAGGCCUAACACAUGCAAGUAGAGCGGAGCGGCGGAAGGGUGAGUAAUGCCUAGGAAUCGGCCUGGUAGAGGGGGAUAAAGUCCGGAAACGGGCGCUAAUACCGCAUACUCUCCGAUGAGCCUAGGUCGGCUUAGCUAGUUGGUGGGGUAAAGGCCUACCAAGGCGACGCUCCGAAACUGGUCUGAGAGGAUGAUCAGUCACACUGGAACUGAGACACGGUCCAGAUUCCUACGGGAGGCAGGAGUGGGGAAUAGUGCACUAUGGGCGCAAGCCUGUGGCAGCCAUGCCGCGUGUAUGAAGAAGGCCUUCGGGUUGUAAAGUACUUUCAGCUGGGAGGCGUUACCCGCAGAAGAAGCACCGGCUAACUCCGUGCCAGCAGCCGCGGUAAUUC
Molecule: ribosomal RNA, 407 nt
Filed under: uncultured bacterium
Lineage: Bacteria
Description: partial 16S ribosomal RNA
Rfam family: Bacterial small subunit ribosomal RNA
Source: RNAcentral